UCUGGAGGACCAAGAAGGCUUGAGUCUGAUGAAGCAAGACUUGGCUGAUACACUCCUCCUACACAAAGGGGUAGAGAGAGCAGUCCUUACUGGAGAAAACCACGGGGCUGACAAUACUACCCAACAUUU
Molecule: non-coding RNA, 129 nt
Organism: Microtus oregoni (creeping vole)
Lineage: Eukaryota; Metazoa; Chordata; Mammalia; Rodentia; Cricetidae
Product: small Cajal body-specific RNA 4
Exons: 1
Source: RefSeq, a predicted model, not a curated record